AGACAGGUAGCCUUUACGUUCUGAAGGUUCAAACACUUCAUCCUCACCAUGGGUGUGCUGAGCAUGUGCUGCAGUUGAAGGUUUAUUAUCUAUGACAUCUUUUGAAGAUCAGCAGGAGCCUGAUACCUCUCCAAAAUUUUUAUGGAUAAAAAUCCGUAAGACACAAAA
Pipra filicauda (Wire-tailed manakin) is the source of this 168-nucleotide long non-coding RNA. RefSeq lists it as uncharacterized. The transcript is spliced from 2 exons. NCBI's taxonomy places the organism in Eukaryota, Metazoa, Chordata, Aves, Passeriformes, Pipridae. The record is from RefSeq and is a predicted model, not a curated record.